Hemicordylus capensis (graceful crag lizard) is the source of this 436-nucleotide long non-coding RNA. RefSeq lists it as uncharacterized. Lineage: Eukaryota; Metazoa; Chordata; Lepidosauria; Squamata; Cordylidae. The transcript is spliced from 2 exons. The record is from RefSeq and is a predicted model, not a curated record.
GAAGAAGUGAAAGGUCAGUUUGUCUGAGAGAAGAACGUAGAACCUCUGUGCUAUUGGAUAGCAGAAGGACUGAAGGAGCCCACCAGGUUCACUGAACAAAGUCUAUUGAAUGACACAUUUCUAAGGAAUGUAGCCAUUUAAGGCUGUGAAGAAAGAAGAGAGGUGGAAGAGAGCAAGAAACAAUUCAGCUAGUAAAACUGGAAUUGAGUUGGAAAACACAUACUGAAAGAAAUUAUCCUGUUUGACUAAUUGUCCCUGCUGAUUAAUUUUCAAAUUCACAUGUUGCUAUUCUUGGUAACUUUUGGCAAAUUUAGCUGACUAUAAUUCUGUUAUGCUUAAGAGCUCUGGAAGUUGCAAUAAAGAACUAAAAAAAUUGUUAGUAUUUGAAACUUUCAUAAUUAAAACCAUCAAUAUUUAAUAAAGGGCAUUGAAGUGA